UCCCCGCUAGCUCAGUCGGUAGAGCGCCGGACUGUUAAUCCGUAGGUCCCUGGUUCGAGCCCAGGUCGGGGAG
Molecule: transfer RNA, 73 nt
Filed under: Candidatus Paraburkholderia kirkii UZHbot1
Lineage: Bacteria; Pseudomonadati; Pseudomonadota; Betaproteobacteria; Burkholderiales; Burkholderiaceae
Description: Candidatus Burkholderia kirkii UZHbot1 tRNA
Rfam family: tRNA
About the family: Transfer RNA (tRNA) molecules are approximately 80 nucleotides in length.
Source: Rfam by way of RNAcentral